AUUGAACGCUGGCGGUAUGCUUAACACAUGCAAGUCGAGCGGCAGCACGAGGAAAGUUUACUUUCUUCGGUGGCGAGUGGCGGACGGGUGAGUAAUACAUAGGAAUCUACCUUUUAGUCUAGGAUAACUACCCGAAAGGGUGGCUAAUACUGGAUGUGGACUACGGUUUAAAGCAGGGGACCUUCGGGCCUUGCGCUAAGAGAUGAGCCUAUGUGGGAUUAGCUAGUUGGUGAGGUAAUGGCUCACCAAGGCGACGAUCUCUAGCUGGUUUGAGAGGAUGAUCAGCCACACUGGGACUGAGACACGGGCCCAGACUCCUACGGGGAGGCAGCAGGUGGGGGGAAUAUUGGGACAAUGGGGGCGAAAGCCUGAUCCAGCAAUACCCGCGUGU
This 391-nucleotide ribosomal RNA is filed under the name uncultured Ignatzschineria sp. Its description in RNAcentral is "bacterial SSU rRNA". It matches the Rfam family "Bacterial small subunit ribosomal RNA", at positions 30 to 404 of the family's 1533-position model. The record is from RNAcentral. Lineage: Bacteria; Pseudomonadati; Pseudomonadota; Gammaproteobacteria; Cardiobacteriales; Ignatzschineriaceae.